Molecule: long non-coding RNA, 613 nt
Filed under: Carica papaya (papaya)
Lineage: Eukaryota; Viridiplantae; Streptophyta; Magnoliopsida; Brassicales; Caricaceae
Description: long non-coding RNA (CPAP_LNC006565)
Source: RNAcentral
GGCGACUCUCCGGCGAGGUUCGUGUUUUGGUGAUUUGGCUUUGGUCAACCUGUAGAGAAAAGAAUGGUGAUCACGGUGAUAUAAAAAUUGCAUCGAACGGAGGCCGGGAAGGGCCUCGUCGGAGGCAAAAACCGAGAGGGGGCGCGGCGGCGCCGCUGGGCUUCAGCAGCGUAUUCCGGCCGUUUGGCCGGGAUUUCGGCUUCGAUUUGGCCAUAGGAGGAAUCAGUGGGGAAGAACGAGUCGGGGGUAUGAAAUUUACCUCGAUCGGCGGUCGGAAAUUUCCCCGGUGCGGCGGCGAGUGGCGGCGGGUGGCGGCGGUCGGCCUCUGGUUCGUCUUCUCCGGCGAGCGGCUGGCGGCUAGGGUUUGUGGUCUGGUGUGGGGGUUCUAUUUAUAACCCCUUGCCUUUUGAUCACAGCCGUUCAUUUCGUUUUAAUCUGGGCCGUUCGUUUUUGAUUGAAUCUGGGCCGUCCGUGCGUUUGAAUCUGGGCCGUCCGAUCGCGCGAUUGAUCUGGGCCAUCGGAUCGCACCCACGCGGAUCGCCAACGUGGCUCCUUUCGGAGUGACGCGAUCUUGCCACGUGGCAGGCCCUGGUUGGCCGGGACUGCUGACCGG